RNAcentral lists this ribosomal RNA (253 nucleotides) under uncultured bacterium. RNAcentral's name for it is "partial 16S ribosomal RNA". It matches the Rfam family "Bacterial small subunit ribosomal RNA", at positions 524 to 776 of the family's 1533-position model. The record is from RNAcentral.
UACGUAGGGGGCUAGCGUUGUCCGGAUUUAUUGGGCGUAAAGAGCGCGUAGGCGGCUAGGUAAGUCAGCCGUGAAAUCUGGAGGCUCAACCUCCAGCGGUCGUUGGAAACUACUUGGCUAGAGUCCGGAAGAGGAGAGUGGAAUUCCUGGUGUAGCGGUGAAAUGCGCAGAUAUCAGGAAGAACACCGAUGGCGAAAGCAGCUCUCUGGGACGGUACUGACGCUGAGGCGCGAAAGCGUGGGGAGCGAACAGG